Molecule: long non-coding RNA, 826 nt
Organism: Neopsephotus bourkii (Bourke's parrot)
Lineage: Eukaryota; Metazoa; Chordata; Aves; Psittaciformes; Psittacidae
Exons: 2
Source: RefSeq, a predicted model, not a curated record
GCACUGUAAAUACAGAAACCCUAUUCUUUGGUUUUUCCCUUUUUCUUUGCAAAGGAAAUCUGACAGUUAUUAUCUGGGGAAUGCUCAUAAGAAUCAUAAUGUAUUUAAUGUAAAACACUCUGAAAGCUUUUUGCCUUUUUUGUUCCACUCCUGCUUUAUGUAACAAUUGCUUAUCCAUCUUUUCCAGAUCUAAACAGGCUCAAGGAUCUUUCUUGGACUCAGUGGACAUCAUACUGUUGGUAGUUCUGAGUGAACAUCAAAAGCCUCAGCCUCCAGCUGAUACCAGGGUGGCUUGGAAACUGCACCCUGAAGCUCUUAUCAUUUUCAUGCCAGAUGUUUCACAGAGACUAAGAAGCUCGUGGAACUUCAGUAAGAAAGAGCAGGAACUUCUGUCUGUUCCCUUGUAUGGAAGUAACUAUGCUAAACCAACUAGUAAGUGGAAUGGUCUGCAGGUAAGUAACAGACACUGAAAUCUACUUUCCAUCUGAAACUAGACAGCAACCUAUUUACAAAUUCAAAGUUAAAUCCUGCUGUAGCUUUUCACUGGGAGCACCAGAUGUGCCAAAUCCAUUCCUUGCUGGAUGGACAUUAAAUCUGCUGCUUGAUUGUUCCCUGGGUUCAUUUCUGUGUUCCUUAAACUACAGGCUGGCCUGUGUGCCUCAAGAUAGAACAAGGUUAUAUAGAGUCAGGGAAAUGGAGAUUAGCACCCCCCUGUGUCUUUCUGUCUUACUGUGCUUUCCCCAUUGUCAGUCCCCACCCUAAAUUCAUUUAUGUAUUACUUUUCAUACUGUAUUUGCUUUUGAUCCAAGCACUUUUGUCAUCAGUA